Molecule: long non-coding RNA, 6201 nt
Organism: Panonychus citri (citrus red mite)
Lineage: Eukaryota; Metazoa; Arthropoda; Arachnida; Trombidiformes; Tetranychidae
Exons: 5
Source: RefSeq, a predicted model, not a curated record
UGAUCGACACAAAGGAUCAGCUGAUUGAUGGAAAAUGGAACAAAAUUUUUUUUUAAUUAUUCGCAAUUGUUUUACUCUUUUUGUGGUUUAUUGUUUAAUUUUGUUUUUAUUCUAAUUAAUGAUUAUCGGUUUGAUUGGAUUCGUGUGGAUUCAGAUUUUGAGAUCAACUUGUUUCUCUCCUUUGGUUUAACUCGUUUCGUAUUCUGAUGAGUUGAAAUUUAAAUUUUCUAUAGGAAAUGAAUUUAUUAUUAGGUUUAUGAUUGGUGAUUAUCUCAUAAAUCUAAUUCAUGAGAUCAAUUGACUUUCUAAAUCUGACAUUCACUUGAUUCUUUUUUAUCUCUUCUAUCACUCGAUGAACCACUUGGAACCCUGGGCCCUGGAGAAGAGAUAGGAAACUGUGUUCUUCCAGUUGCUUCAAAGUUAAUUUUUCGGUGUAACUCGUUGUGAUGGAGAUGGAACUUGUUUAACCAAUUUCAUUCAUUUACUACUCACUGUUUGUUGUUAUUUUCUCUCUGUGUAUUUGUUUGUGUGUAUGUUGUCAACAAUUUCUGAUCUGAGAUUUUUCCCUCAUCUCGAUUUUUUUUUAUGAUUUUCUACCUUUUCUAAUUAGGGUUAAGCCUAAUCACCAUCGUAACUAACAAGUGGAAAUUGGAAAUUUAAAGAUAUUAAUACAAUCCAAUCCAAAUGAUUAAGCCGAUUUCUAUUGCUCCUGAAUUUUACAAUUUGGUUAUUUAUUGUUUAUAACAAGAUUAUCAUUUCAUCAUUUAAUUUAUGAUUUCAUAUUAAUAAUCAUAAAUGUAUGCUGAUUAUUAUGAAUUGGACAAUUAUCUACCUUAUUAUUGUUUUGGAUCAACAAAAACACCAAAUUAUCAAGAGAGAGAGAGAGAUACAAUCAAUCUAAUGAGAAAGAUGAUAAUUAAUGUUUCUACAUUUUCCAGUGAUGAUCACCUAGGUAAUUAUCGUACAGUUAUUAUGCAAAUGUAACAAAAUUAAUACUUUAAAUUGAUUGCUAUUAGUCAUCAUUAUUAAUUGAUUUAGAGAUUAACCAUAAUAUCCAUCCGAUGAAAAAAAAUUAAUCUAAUUGCUGAUUCACUAAUCCUGAUCAAGGUAGAUAAUUAAUUUUACAAAGACAAUGACCAACACUUUGUACCUUUCAUGGUCAAUUAUUUGAUUGUUUUGGUUACAAUAUCAUAAAUUGGUUGUAUCAUAAUAAUCAGUUAAUGACUAUAAGAUAUUUAGUUUCCUUUUAUAAUUAAAGUGUUCCUACCUUAAUGAUGAUCAUGAGUUGACUUCUUGAAUAUCAAUGAUUAGCCCAAAAUGAUUAUCAUGAUGAUUACCAGAUUAUGUUAAUUGUUGUUAAGGUCUAAAAGUUUUUUUUCAAUCAUUUUCAACCCAACAAUUAUCAACUAAUCAAUGUCAAUGUAUUAAAAAGCAUUAACAUGUAAUUAACGAGCCUAAUUACAUGUUAAUGUAACACCAAUAACAAUAUAUUUUUGCUUCAUCAUAAUCAAAAUCAAAUGAUAAAUUGUUAACCCAUAAAGAAAGAUGAAAAUUAAUCUAUUGAUUAUCUAGAAAUUAACUUGAUUAGCCCAAUUGAUCAACAAUUACCACACCUUUUUUAUUUGUAAUUUAAUGAACAGUAAAUAAGUUGUUAACUAACAGAUCAACAAUCAAGACCUUUAAUCAUGUUAAUCACCAUCAUCUUCAUACAUUUAAUAACGAGGAUAAGACAACUUUAAUCAUAUACUAAUCAUGAUAAUUUAUAAGUAAAAAAAAAUAAUUAGGUGUAAAUAAUCAACAACAAAUCAAAUUGGUUAAUUAAAACAAAUCCCAAUUACUGUUUAAUUUUCAUCACAAUUAAAUGAUUGAUUGUUGACUCUUGAUUAGCGUAAUCAAAUUUGAUUUUCAUCCUUGAUCCAAUUUCAUUUGAAUAUUUCGUUGAUUAUUAUGUCUAUUAAUCUAAUUGUCAUGUUGAUUAUUGGUAUUAAUUAUAAUAAUAAGAUGUUCACCUUGAUGGAAAUGAUUUUGAUUGAUUAAAUCAUUUCAUUUCCAUUGAAUUACUCAGCCUUUUAAUCAACAGAUUUAUCCUCAGAGAUUUUUGAUCAAUUUUCCUUUAAGCAAUUUAAUCAUCAUCAAACUAAUCAUCAACUAUCAAAGUUUAUAAAUGUACCAAUUUAAUUGAGUUAAUUAAAUUGACACUCAGAUGACAAUUAUGAUAAAUGAUCCCUUUGAAAAGGUAAUCAAAGUGUUGCUCCGUUAAUUGUUAUAAUUUACUUUGGUGUAUGUCGAUUGUGAUACAAUUUACCUUCUUAAUUUUUUUUCUACUUCCAUUAUUAUCUAUCAUUAUUAUCAAAUUAACAAUUAAAAACAAAUGUAAUUUGCUCUUAAUUAUUCAAAUUGUUGAUAAUAAUUAAGGAUCAACUCAUUUAAUUGAGUAAUCAUCUACAAAGUUAAUUGUAAUAAUGAUGAUUACAUAUCUCAUGAGACCUUCAAAAUAUUCACAAUUUAUGAUAAUAACUUUAUCAUUUACACAACAAUUAACCUGCAAUAAUUAGUAGAUGAUGUCUAUAGGUGAUUUAACAAGUCUACCGAUUGUAUUUCAUCAUUUAAUUGUGAAACUGAUGAUCCAAUUUGAAUUCACCAAUCAAUUUAUGAACAAUUUAUUUGAUUGAAACCUGGAAAAAACGAAAUAAAUUAGCAUUAAAUUUUGGAUAAUCAAUUUAAAUUAUGAUUGGAAUCAAAGUGAUCGCUAUCAAAGGCCAAAGAGAUCAACUUAAUCCUUGGAUCUUUUUUAUCCUUUUUAUUUUCAGAUAAAAAUGAAGAUGAUGAGGAUAAAUUGACCUAAUUUAAUUAGAUUGGUGAAGAAAUAAAAACAAAAAGAUAUAUAAAUGAGAUUGAUUAAUUUAUCUUUUCAGCAGAAACUUAUUUUCCUCCUCAGUUAAUGCGAUGAAGAGAAAGAGAAAUCUGUAAAUCUGAGUUAAUUCAAUUGGUUUCAUUCAUGUUGACACUUUGAGAUCCUGAUUGAGUUACGUUGAUGAUAAAUCACAAGAAUCAUGAUGAUGAUUAAAGAUGAAUGGAGAAGCCACAAAAUGAAAAGAAUGAAAAGUGACCUUCUUUUUUUAACUCAUAUUGUCCAAAGGAUAAAGAUGAAGAUGAAAGAGGUAAGAUUGAUGAGAGAGAAAGAGAUGAUGAUGAUGAUGAUGGCGAAUGUUGUUAUUGUGAAAGUUAUUUUCUUUUUCUUUCAUCAUCGUUUUCUUGUCCGAUGGAUAUGAAGUUUCCAGUUAUUCAAUAACAUUAUCAUCCUUUUUCAUCUUCAUCAUCAGUCGAGGUUAAAUUAAGUGUGAAAGGUAAAAGUUUAUCAUCUCAGCAUCAUAUUGAUUGUUAUCAUUGUUUUCGUCCUUAUGAAGAUGAAUGAAGAUGAAACUAGAGAGAGAGAGAGAGAGAGAGAGAGCUAUAAUUUGAUAAAUACUCUUAAAAUUUCCGGAUUUCCGGGUAUAACUUGAUUAACAGAAUCUCACAUAGAGACGAUGAUGAUUAAGAGAAGAUGAAAAGACUUUCUUUGUUUUCUUCUUCAUCUUCAUUUCUCACUCUGUUUCUCUCUCGUUCUCUAACUGAAUCUUUAAUUUACAUCAAAGAGUAGAGGUUUUUACUCUUUGAUUUACAUUAAAUCUUUUCAAACAUUUCACUUUCUUCUCAUUUCAUUUCAAUUCCAAACUACACUGAUAACAAUCAUCUUCAUGUUAUCAUCAUGAUGGUAUUUUCUUUUCUUCCCUCUACAUUAUUAAUACACUUUUCCUUUUUCAUGGCAACGUGAAUUUUAUCCGAUCCAUAUAAUGGUAAGAAUAAUAUCUCGCUUGACAAUAUAAUCAUUUUUCAUCAUCAUUUCAUGAUCACACUUGAAUUAUCAUCAAAUGGAAAUGAGAGAAACUGAAACAUUUUGAUGAUAAUGAUGAUGAUGAUGGUGAUAGAGAUGAAGAUAGUUGAAAAUAGUCACCAAAUGAAAGAGGGAGAGCAAAGAAACCAAAGAUGUAACCAACCUUGCGAAGAUGAUAUUCUUUUGGUAUCUUCCAAAAAGCAGCAACAAGCUUCUUACUGUUGUUGAUGAUGAUGAAAAAAGAUGAAGAUGAGAUAUUUGUGAAAGAAAAGGUCUAGAGAUUGAAUACCCUGAGGGCUAAAUGGAUAUUUCAAGUGUCACUAAACUAAUGCACCUGAAGAAGAAAAUCCCGAUGAGAGAGAAAAGGAAAUGAUUUCUCUUUAUUUUUCAUCACCAACUCACCUGAAGACAUGAGAAGAGAAAAUGAGAGAGAGAAACAAAUGAUUCAACCUGAGAUUGAUCUUAAUUUUCCAUCAUUCUCAUCAAAAUCAUCUUCAUCAUUAACUGAAUUAAAACACAUACACACAAAAGUGAUGCUUCAUCCAAGGUUAGAAUUACUUAAUUUAACUUGUAGGCCUAAAAACCGAGAAGAGGAAAAGAUUAAGAUCAAUUAGGAAAACACAAGGAGAGUAAGAGAUAAUCUUACAAACCAGAAUGAAUUAAUUACCAUAAAUCAAGCAACUAAUAGACAAGAGAAAAAAGCUCAACAUUAAAUUACGACAAUUAAAUUAAUUAGAAAACAAAUGAGAAAAAAUCAAACCACAGAAAAGAACUUGCAAAAAGUUGGAUUAUUAUUAAAGUGUAUCAAUAAGUUCUGAGUUCAUGCACCGAUUCCAUGAGAACUGUUCAUGAUUUCAGUCGAAUUUUUCAUUGUAAAAGUCCAAAUUUCGAAAUUCGAUUUCUCGACAACCAAAGUUAAUCUAUUGUUCAUUUUCGCAGCAGCUUAAGACUAAAGAUCUAUUUUCGUUUUGACUAUUUUAAAUUUCGAAAAAAAGUUCGAAGCUCAGUUCAGUUUCGAAAAAAAUGAUAAAUUUUCGCUCCUUUGUAGUGUUUAUCGACUUGGACUAAGUUCCAAAUUUUAUAACUAAUUAAUUGUUUAAUCUCAGUAAGACUCUGAAUUUUAAUUAGUCAGAAAAUUGGAUAAUUAUCGGUAUUGAUUUUCCCCGAAUGAUUGAACAAAGUGAACUUAUUGAUACCGUUAAUAUAUUUUCGCUCGUUAUUUUUUCGGUGUCAAUGGUUACCCUUUGUUUUUGGCUCUUCUCUCAACGUUUAUCACUUAAUCUUAGAUAAUCUUUGAGAAUUGUCAUUUUAAACAAUUAAUCACUUCACUUAAUUAACUUAAAACAACUCGGAACACCAGUUAACAUACAGAGAAGAUAAUUAUUCAACGAAAAGAAUUAACUAUGGAACAGAAAAUAUAUAACACAUACAAAAGAAUUCACUAGAAUAUAUUUAUGCAUAUUCUCAUCAUCUUCCACCCAAACAAUGCUGUUAAUAAUGUAAUGAUGAUAAUAAACUCUAAGCCUCAUGACAAAGAAUCGUGAAAAUGUUCAGUUUCCCUGGUAACAUCCACUGUGACUCUAUGACUGAAUAAUGAUGAUAAUUAAAGACUUUAGUGAAUAUUAUAUUUACCAUAGACAAGGCUUCUGUCUUCCACAUCCUUCUCAUCAUCAUCAUCAUCUUCAUCUUCUUCUCUCUCUCAUUCUAAUUAAGUUUCAUACUAACAAAAAUCAGUGAAUUCCCUUUCCAUGUAUCUUUCCUAAUUAAGUUAUGGAUAAAAAACAUGAGCCCAUGGAAUGAAUCAUUUCAAGUUUAUCCCAAUCACUGUUAAUUUUAUUAAUAACAAUUAACAGACGUUAUUAUUGGUUGAUUUAUUUUAAUUAUUAUAGUUUUUUAAUUCCUGCUAAUUAACCAUUAACGGGAAAACAAAUCAAAGUUUAUCCCAAUCAAUAAUUAUCAUUCAUUUUUAUUAUCAAACAAAAGCUUUCAACCCAAAUGGAUUGGUUUUCAUGAUUUUCAACAUGAAUCAAGUUAAUUAAUGUUGAACAAUUAAAAGCAAUUCAGUUUAAUCAUAAUUCUCAAUUGUUCCAUUGUAAUAAUCAAAAAUCAUCCAGUAAUUAACUGUGAAUUGUUGCAUGAUUGCAAUUUUAAAUUGCAUCCAUUUAACAAGGAUCAUUAAAAAAUAUCACAAUUUAUAUUGAUCUUUAUACAAUUAACGAUCAAUUUUCAUAAAUGAUUAACAUUAUGUACUAAUAAUUAAAAUUAUUUAAUUGCGUGAAAACAUUGAGACUUUAUAAUUACAUUUGAUGAAAUAAAUAUGAUUAAAG